CUUUGCGUGGAGGUGCCUUACUACGGCGAGUGAAGCGGCAAAAGCUCAAAUUUGAAAUCUGGUACCUUCGGUGCCCGAGUUGUAAUUUGGAGAGGGCAACUUUGGGGCCGUUCCUUGUCUAUGUUCCUUGGAACAGGACGUCAUAGAGGGUGAGAAUCCCGUGUGGCGAGGAGUGCGGUUCUUUGUAAAGUGCCUUCGAAGAGUCGAGUUGUUUGGGAAUGCAGCUCUAAGUGGGUGGUAAAUUCCAUCUAAAGCUAAAUAUUGGCGAGAGACCGAUAGCGAACAAGUACAGUGAUGGAAAGAUGAAAAGAACUUUGAAAAGAGAGUGAAAAAGUACGUGAAAUUGUUGAAAGGGAAGGGCAUUUGAUCAGACAUGGUGUUUUGUGCCCUCUGCUCCUUGUGGGUAGGGGAAUCUCGCAUUUCACUGGGCCACCAUCAUGUUUGUUGGCUGGAUAAAUCCGUAGGAAUGUAGCUUGCCUCGGUAAGUAUUAUAGCCUGUGGGAAUACUGCCAGCUGGAACUGAGGACUGCGACGAAAUGCCAGGAUGCUGGCUAAAUGGUUAUAUGCCGCCCGUCUUGAACACGGACCA
This 589-nucleotide ribosomal RNA is filed under the name Saccharomyces sp. ZB12043143-26s-6. Its description in RNAcentral is "eukaryotic LSU rRNA". It matches the Rfam family "Eukaryotic large subunit ribosomal RNA", at positions 65 to 668 of the family's 3401-position model. Lineage: Eukaryota; Fungi; Ascomycota; Saccharomycetes; Saccharomycetales; Saccharomycetaceae. The record is from RNAcentral.